GCUUGGAGGGUAGUGCGGUAGUGCGUCUGCCUUGUAAGCACUAGGUUGCGGGUUCGAUUCCCGCCCGGGGCA
Molecule: transfer RNA, 72 nt
Filed under: Diaphorina citri (Asian citrus psyllid)
Lineage: Eukaryota; Metazoa; Arthropoda; Insecta; Hemiptera; Psyllidae
Rfam family: tRNA
About the family: Transfer RNA (tRNA) molecules are approximately 80 nucleotides in length. Their secondary structure includes four short double-helical elements and three loops (D, anti-codon, and T loops). Further hydrogen bonds mediate the characteristic L-shaped molecular structure. tRNAs have two regions of fundamental functional importance: the anti-codon, which is responsible for specific mRNA codon recognition, and the 3' end, to which the tRNAs corresponding amino acid is attached (by aminoacyl-tRNA synthetases). tRNAs cope with the degeneracy of the genetic code in two manners: having more than one tRNA (with a specific anti-codon) for a particular amino acid; and 'wobble' base-pairing, i.e. permitting non-standard base-pairing at the 3rd anti-codon position.
Source: Rfam by way of RNAcentral